CAGCAGCCGCGGGAAUACGAGGGGGGCAAGCGUUGUUCGGAUUUAUUGGGCGUAAAGGGUGCGUAGGCGGUUUGGCAAGUCUUGUGUGAAAUCUUCGGGCUCAACCCGAAGCCUGCACGAGAAACUACCGGGCUUGAGUAUUGGAGAGGUGAGUGGAAUUUCCGGUAUAGCGGUGAAAUGCGUAGAUAUCGGAAGGAACACCUGUGGCGAAAGCGGCUCACUGGACAAUAACUGACGCUGAUGCACGAAAGCUAGGGGAGCAAACAGGAUUAGAUACCCCCGUAGUCCCUGUCUCUUAUAC
Molecule: ribosomal RNA, 301 nt
Filed under: uncultured bacterium
Lineage: Bacteria
Description: partial 16S ribosomal RNA
Rfam family: Bacterial small subunit ribosomal RNA
Source: RNAcentral